AACGCUGGCGGCAGGCCUAACACAUGCAAGUCGAACGGUAACAGGAUAGCUUGCUAUCGCUGACGAGUGGCGGACGGGUGAGUAAUACUUAGGGAUCUGCCUCUGUGUGGGGGAUAACUAUUGGAAACGAUAGCUAAUACCGCAUAAUGUCUACGGACCAAAGCGGGCUUCGGCUCGUGCGCAGAGAGGAACCUAAGCGAGAUUAGCUAGUUGGUGAGGUAAAGGCUCACCAAGGCGACGAUCUCUAGCUGUUCUGAGAGGAAGAUCAGCCACACUGGAACUGAGACACGGUCCAGACUCCUACGGGAGGCAGCAGUGGGGAAUAUUGCACAAUGGGGGAAACCCUGAUGCAGCCAUGCCGCGUGUGUGAAGAAGGCCUUCGGGUUGUAAAGCACUCUCAGUUGUGAGGAAAGUUUAGUAGUUAAUACCUGCUAGAUGUGACGUUAGCAACAGAAGAAGCACCGGCUAACUCCGUG
This 476-nucleotide ribosomal RNA is filed under the name uncultured bacterium. RNAcentral describes it as "bacterial SSU rRNA". It matches the Rfam family "Bacterial small subunit ribosomal RNA", at positions 32 to 507 of the family's 1533-position model. The record is from RNAcentral.